Molecule: ribosomal RNA, 508 nt
Filed under: uncultured bacterium
Lineage: Bacteria
Description: bacterial SSU rRNA
Rfam family: Bacterial small subunit ribosomal RNA
Source: RNAcentral
AGAGUUUGAUCCUGGCUCAGGAUGAACGCUAGCUACAGGCUUAACACAUGCAAGUCGAGGGGCAGCAUGUUGGUUGCUUGCAACCAAUGAUGGCGACCGGCGCACGGGUGCGUAACACGUAUCCAACCUGCCCGUUACUCGGGGAUAGCCUUUCGAAAGAAAGAUUAAUACCCGAUGGUUUCGCGCUUCCGCAUGAGAGUGCGAAUAAAGAUUUAUCGGUAACGGAUGGGGAUGCGUCCGAUUAGCUGUUGCGGGUAACGGCCCACCAAGGCGACGAUCGGUAGGGGCUCUGAGAGGAGGGUCCCCCACACUGGAACUGAGACACGGUCCAGACUCCUACGGGAGGCAGCAGUGAGGAAUAUUGGUCAAUGGGCGAGAGCCUGAACCAGCCAAGUAGCGUGAGGGACGACUGCCCUAUGGGUUGUAAACCUCUUUUGUUUGGGAAUAAAGUGAGGCACGCGUGCCUUUUGUAUGUACCUUACGAAUAAGCAUCGGCUAAUUCCGUGCC